RNAcentral lists this unclassified non-coding RNA (566 nucleotides) under Cochlearia tatrae. RNAcentral describes it as "sequence contains ITS1, 5.8S rRNA gene and ITS2". The record is from RNAcentral. Lineage: Eukaryota; Viridiplantae; Streptophyta; Magnoliopsida; Brassicales; Brassicaceae.
ACAGGAGCGCACGACGUUAUGAAGAGGCUUAUUUCACCACCGCCCGUCGAGACGCUCUGGGCGUCCUAAGCUCGGAUUUUGGCCAACCGCGUGCGGGAACACACGGGAGACCAGCUUCCGUCCAAAAUCCUUAUAGGAUUGGUGGACGACAAUUUGUGACACCCAGGCAGACGUGCCCUCGACCAAAAGGCUUAGGGCGCAACUUGCGUUCAAAGACUCGAUGGGUCACGGGAUUCUGCGAUUCACACCAAGUAUCGCAUUUCACUACUUUCUUCAUCGAUGCGAGAGCCGAGAUAUCCGUUGCCGAAAGUCGUUUUAUACUUUAAAUGCAGCGAGACAUUCACACACAAACCAUCUCUGGUGCGGCGAAUGCAAGCUGUUUAUUUGCCUGUUCCUUGACACUUUUCCUGCCGGGGUUUGGUGAAAUCCGGAGGAAACAUGCAUGACUUCUCCUUGUAAUGAAUACUGACGAAGCCAAACAUGAAACCCCGGAAUCCGUAAGCACAAUAACUGUUAACAAACCGGCCUACCGAKAGUGAGGAUCARUUGUUCUCGGGUCGUACUGU